RNAcentral lists this ribosomal RNA (460 nucleotides) under uncultured bacterium. RNAcentral's name for it is "partial 16S ribosomal RNA". It matches the Rfam family "Bacterial small subunit ribosomal RNA", at positions 338 to 795 of the family's 1533-position model. The record is from RNAcentral.
CCUACGGGAGGCAGCAGUGAGGAAUAUUGGUCAAUGGACGAGAGUCUGAACCCGCCAAGUAGCGUGAAGGAUGACUGCCCUAUGGGUUUUAAACUUCUUUUAUAUGGGAAUAAAUCAGGGUAUCCAUACCCUCUUGUAUGUACCAUAUGAAUAAGGAUCGGCUAAAUCCGUGCCAGCAGCCGCGGUAAUACGGCGGGUCCGAGCGUUAUCCGGAUUUAGUGGGUUUAAAGGGAGCGUAGGUGGAUGGUUAAGUCAGUUGUGAAAGUUUGCGGCUCAACCGUAAAAUUGCAGUUGAAACUGGCAGUCUUGAGGACAGUAGAGGUGGGCGGAAUUCGUGGUGUAGCGGUGAAAUGCUUAGAUAACACGAAGAACUCCGAGUGCGAAGGCAGCUCACUGGACUGCAACUGACACUGAUGCUCGAAAGUGUGGGUAUCAAACAGGAUUAGAUACCCGGGUAGUC